AUCCAGUGGCUGACGGGUCCCAAAUAGGACGAAAUGCGCAUCCUGGAU
RNAcentral lists this non-coding RNA (48 nucleotides) under Trichobilharzia regenti. The record is from RNAcentral. Lineage: Eukaryota; Metazoa; Platyhelminthes; Trematoda; Strigeidida; Schistosomatidae.